RNAcentral lists this ribosomal RNA (231 nucleotides) under Escherichia coli. RNAcentral describes it as "partial 23S ribosomal RNA". It matches the Rfam family "Bacterial large subunit ribosomal RNA", at positions 171 to 440 of the family's 2925-position model. Lineage: Bacteria; Pseudomonadati; Pseudomonadota; Gammaproteobacteria; Enterobacterales; Enterobacteriaceae. The record is from RNAcentral.
UUAAUGAGGCGAACCGGGGGAACUGAAACAUCUAAGUACCCCGAGGAAAAGAAAUCAACCGAGAUUCCCCCAGUAGCGGCGAGCGAACGGGGAGCAGCCCAGAGCCUGAAUCAGUAUGUGUGUUAGUGGAAGCGUCUGGAAAGGCGCGCGAUACAGGGUGACAGCCCCGUACACAAAAAUGCACAUAUUGUGAGCUCGAUGAGUAGGGCGGGACACGUGGUAUCCUGUCUG